GCGGACGGGUGAGUAAUGCUUGGGAACUUGCCUUUGCGAGGGGGAUAACAGUUGGAAACGACUGCUAAUACCGCAUAAUGUCUUCGGACCAAACGGGGCUUCGGCUCCGGCGCAAAGAGAGGCCCAAGUGAGAUUAGCUAGUUGGUAAGGUAACGGCUUACCAAGGCGACGAUCUCUAGCUGUUCUGAGAGGAAGAUCAGCCACACUGGGAGUGAGACACGGCCCAGACUCCUACGGGAGGCAGCAGUGGGGAAUAUUGCACAAUGGGGGAAAGCCUGGUGCAGCCAUGCCGCGUGUGUGAAGGACGCACGUGGGUUGUAAAGCAGUUU
This 329-nucleotide ribosomal RNA is filed under the name Alteromonas sp. RNAcentral's name for it is "bacterial SSU rRNA". It matches the Rfam family "Bacterial small subunit ribosomal RNA", at positions 98 to 436 of the family's 1533-position model. The record is from RNAcentral. Lineage: Bacteria; Pseudomonadati; Pseudomonadota; Gammaproteobacteria; Alteromonadales; Alteromonadaceae.